GAAAAACUAGGAUGUCUUUUAUAAAAAUAGGCCUGUUCUAAUGUCAAUUUUCUGCCUGAAUAAAAGUGAAUGAAUAUUAAACAUUGCUGCGGGCAGUCUUGUCAUUGGAGUUAAAGAUUCUCUGCUAUAAUAAAUAAUUUUGUAAAAACAUAAAUUUUGUCCAAGCAAUGAUAAGCCCAAUUCUUUUUUUUCUUUCGGCAAAUGUAUUUUCAGUCCAGGGUACAUGCAUUUGCAGUGUAAUGUGUGAACAUGAAACGUUGGUUUUAGAAUAAGGCUCAUCUAUUUUGCAAAAGCAGCACAGCCACCUACCUGUUAAAAAGUGGUCUGGUGGCUAAAUGGGGAAGGGAUGACUCUUCCUUGUGGGAAGAUGGCAUAUGUCUUCCGGAGAAAGUGAGUCACAUUCAGCACCGUGAAAUUGGUGCUCACUGGAGUAGUGGAUUAGGCCCGUGCAGCAGUGCCAUGCGUCCUGCAAGAGGGCUCUGCACCCCGCUCAGCUGACUGGGUUUCCAGUGCGCAGCCGGCUGCUACUUGCCAGCCGUGUGGCCUCUGGCGAUUUAUUUAUGCUCUCACUGCUGUGGACCACGACAGGGAAGGAUCAGACUAGGGUCCUAACUGCUUCACCUAAUACACUGGCGCAUCUCCAUGGGUUGUGAGGAUUAUCCCCUUGGACACUGAGAUUAAUGUCUUCCAUCCAUGAACAAAACUCUUUCUGCAGCAAGAAAUAUUGAAUAUGGGGUGAGUGAGACAACCCUAUAAUCGACACGUUUAUAUGAACAGUGAGUCUGUCUUGGGAAUUUGAGAAGUUAAUAUAUUUUUGCUUUAAGUGAUUACGGUUUCCCUAGGAGGAUAUUUACAUGUUUCCGUGGGCCGUGUGUCUCUUGCUGCAUCAGAUAGGUGCAAUCGUGUCUUUAAAAGUCGGAGCUAAUUCUCUUUGCUAGCUUCAGAAUAAAUGCUCACUCUCACAAGCCUUAACAUUAGAUAGAAAUUGACACUUGAAGAUAAAAUAGGCCUUUAAAAGCUAUCAUUGUAUUUGGCUAGCAUCUGUUUGUCAUAUCCUAAAUAAACACGGGUACAUAAAAGAGUCAUCCAGUGAUGUGAAUCCUCAGGGCAGAGGGUUCCUGGACACAGUGAAGUCUUGAUGUGCAGCUACAUAAAGGCACUGGUUUUCCACUGCUUCCUGUCAAGCUCCCGUGGAGCCUCGGUGGGAGCCAGAUUACCGGCCACAUGGUGCAGCUGUGCCGACGGCCAGUCAGGGAAGUUAGAGGGUAACACAGGUGCACGCUGUCUGCAGAAGAGCCACACAUGUCCUCUGCUAUUUCUUCUGGUAGGAAGGCUCUAGACCAGGGAGAGCAACUUACCAUGAGACAUUGAGUCUGAUCGUGGAAAGAGAAAAUGUUGUGUAUUAAAAUAACGUGCUUUCAUUUAAUAUCAAGUUUUUAAAAACAUGAUUCUAGUUAAAUGUAGGAGUAGAAAAAAGAGGAAGUGUUCACUUUUUUAAUACACUGAUUUAGAAAUUUGAUAUCUUAUUUCAGUAGCUCUGAGGUGUUGAUAGCGUUAUUUCUGCUGACAGUGUUGAAGCAGGGUGACUAACUAGGGCAUAUUAUUUUUUUCCUAGUAAGCCAGCCAUUCAUGAUGUUUUCUUUGGAGUUUCUGGAUAAGUUCGAGAAAACAUUCUGCAUGUUAAAUCUAGUCUGAUGUACUUAUCCAUCUCAUUACAAACAAAAACAAGCAGACUACAUUUUGUGGCUCUGUAAUCCUCGAAUAUAGAAAUAAUCUUCUUUCCUGACUUUGACAUUGCAGCUCUGUUUUCAUUUUGAUUUUUACAAAUCCUUUGGGUCCAAUUCUGUGAGCCUACCUAUAGCACUGGAUUAAAUGUCUGCAUCAUUUUUUAGUUAUCCAGUUGACUUUAAAACUGUUGUAAAAGUGUAAACCAGCCCAUGAGUUUUUUGUACAUGUAAAGAACUUUAUUGUUCAGUUUUCAUGAUUAUUGUGCAAUGAAGACUGAUAUAGAUGUUCUAUGCUGUCCUUGACCAUGUUAAUUACACUUAUGAUGUAUUUUGGUUCCACAUCAUAAUGAUUUGUCCAUAAUAACCCUUUUGUCCUUUCUAGGCACAUUUUUUGUUGAUGUUGUUGUUGCAGUUUCCCUCUGCAUUGUAUUGCUUUCACAACUGAAAUUUGAAUCAGAUCUGAAAGAGGCCCAGAAUAAAAUAUAUUUCAUUAUUAUGUUGGGUGUGUACAUAGAUAAAACUUUUGAUAUCUAUGUAGUUUGUACAAACUAUUUACUAGUUAAGAGCGAAGGAGGGUACUGUUUACAAUUUCUUGUUUACAUUUUAAUUGCUUUUAUUUCUCUAAUGUUCUGUAGAAUUGUAGAAUUGUAGAAUUGUUCUGAAAAAGAAAAUGAUGUGCUCUUCAUGCUUUCUUUUUCAGGGGGAGGAGGGAGGCCACUUGUGCACCAAAAGCUUUUUUUAACUCUGCUGUCAAACAAGUGGACAGUAUGAAAUAGUAACCUUUGAACCACAGCCUUGGCUGGCUCUUCCUUCUUAACAUGAUCAGACUCUGUUCCCUCUGAUUCAUUUCUAUGAUUGUAUUCACAGACAGACUUGUGUACUAAGACAUUAAAGACUCAAUCAUUCAUUCAGUAAACAUUCGGUGCCUAUCUGUUCUCAUGUUAUAGGUUUAUUUCAAAUGCAAGGCUUUCUCGAGCCUGUAUUCUAAGGGAGACACAGAAUUAAUAAACAAGAGGGCCAGGUAGGCAGCUCAGUAGUAGAAUACUUGUGUGGCAUGCUCAAGGCCUUCGGUUCAGUCUCCAGCACUAUAAAAAAAAGUGAAAAAUGUGGAAUGUCAGAUGGCAAGAAGUGCAAUGGAGUAAAAUAAAGUCAGAAAGUACAAUAAGGUAUGCUGGGAUUAGGUGCUAUUUUAACUGGGGCAGUCAGAGAAAGCACCACUGAGUGGAUAAUAUUUGGGCAAUGAAUGAAUAGGAGAAGCAAGCAGUACAUCCACUGGAGGAAAAAUGAUGGUGGCAACAGAGGUGUUGAGCAGUGACAGGUUUUCUUGAGCUGUUUUGGAGGUGGAAAUGACAGGAUUUUUCCAGAUUGGAUGUGGGGUAUGAGUGAAAAACGAUGAGAUGACUCCAGAGUCUCUGGCUUCAACAGCUGAAGGGUGGUCUUGUCACUUCCUGGCAGGGAGAAGACUCAAAAGCAAGCUUGGAGAGGGCAGAAUUAGGAAUUCUAUUUCAGAGCUGGGAAGUCUGAGACACAUAUGCGACAUCCAGAUGUAGAAAUCAAGUGGGUAGUUGGUCAUUCAAGCCUGGAGGUCAAGGCAAGGCAUCGGUUCUAAGAUGGUUUUUUACGGCUGAGGCCAGAUGAGAGCAUGGGAUUUUCCACCAAUAUCCAUCUUCAUCUUAGAAAUUCUGCUUCAGUUGGAAUGUGGUGGGCUCCGUGCUUUGGGAUUGUUAAAAGCCUUCCCAGAUGAAUCAUAUUUGCACACAGAUUUAGUCCAUCUGACUGAGAACUGAGGAUGACUAAAGACAAGCAGAGAUCAUGCAACAGAGUGUGGAACACUAGCAUUUAGAGGUCACUUUUGAUGAGUUUCUCUGUGAAUGUGAGAAGACGGGACUUAGCUGGAUUGGGAAUUGCAAGUAAGAGCAAUUUGUUUUUAAAUGAGAAAAGUGGUGACACAUUUGUAUGCUCUCGGGUUUCGGGUUUUUGUUGCUGUUAUUUUUUGAGACAGAAUGGCCUCAAACUCACAGAGAUUCCCCUGCCUCAGCCUUUGCAGGAUUGCAGGUGUGCGCUACCACACUCAGCUAUAUGCUUGUGGAAGAAAGCCAAUGCAGGGAGAAAACGAUGUAGGAGAAAGGAAGAAUGGAUAAAAGGAUUGGAUUGGGUAGAGAAAGGAGGGCCAUGCUGUGGCUGAUUCUCCAGCUCAGACCCUGGCCGGUUGCCCCUGGUUACGGGAGGGAAGGCUUUAGAACACAGGCCAGUGCGGGGCAGGAUGGUGCUCACAUUGCGGGUGCUGGAGGGCACUGUCUAAAGACUACUCUGUCUCCUCAGGGGAGCGGGAAGCAGCGUCUUCCAUUAAGAGAGGGGUUGGGAAGGGAGAGGAGGAGGGCUGAGGAGAGAGCAGAGUAUGAGCUACAUUGCUAUGGUUUGCGUGUGGACUGUGCCCUCUAAAGUCCAUAUGUUACAAGCUUGGCCCCAGGGCGGCAUUACUGGGGAGUAGUGGGCUCUGUGAGGGUGGGGCUGGUGGGAGGUCGUAGUCCCUGGGGGUGUCCUCGGCCUCGCGGUGUCUCUGCUUCUUGGCUUGUGACCUGUGCUGUCCACCAUGGCAUCUGGCACCACACCAGAGGCCCUAAAGGAAUGGGACAGCCCCACUGGAUGGAAUCGCCAGAACUGUGAGCUCAGUACACCCUUAGUUACAUCCUUGGGUAUUUUGUAAUGGACAAACAAAGCUGGGUGUUAUGCGCUGCAUACACGUAAGGCAAAUGAAUGGGAAGGUAGAACUGGUGGGCAGUUCAAGGGCCAUGGCUUUGGUGUGACACCCGCAGCUUUGUAUGGUGUUUGCCGUCUGUGUUCAGCCGCCUGCUGCUGAGAACUAGGAGGGUCAGAGUAAACAGGGGCGGAGUUCCUGCCAGGUGAAAGACUGGAGGAGCAAUGAGCUACAGAGUUGAAGCUGUGGGCAACUCUCAGAUUAUAAUGAUCUACCUUACUGUUUAUGCUGCAUGGUAAAGUUGGGGAAACUGAGGACUCCAGAGGAGGGAUCAUGGUGAAAGGGAGGCAGGACUUGAGUGUCAGAGGCCUGGAUAGAGCCACAACUUUGCCGAAAAUGGUUCAUUACAGCACAAGAGCACUUUUAAUUAUGGUGAAAGGUAGGCAUAUUCAUUACAGAAGCCGAUUUCACUUGGAAACUACUUAAUUAAGUUUUCAUCCAUUAAAAUUACUUAAGUUAUGCAAAAAAGGACCAUAGCUUUGAACAUUAGUAUGCAGUCUUUCACUUACAAUUAUGAAAUGAAUAUAUUUGUUUAUAAUCUAAAAACAAUUAGUGAUUGCUAGAAUACAUCACAGUAAUCUGUUUCUCGUAAAGUAAUAAAUUGCCAAAGACAGAAUUAAACCAUCCUGAGCACUUUUUAAAUAUUUAUGCUUCUUUGUAACCCCAGUGGUUUGGGGAAAUGAUGACAAACAACAUAGUAUAUGUCUCUGCCUAUUUUGUAAAUCACUUUACCUUUCUAAAUUGCUGGAAAGGGAUUCACAGCAGUUAAGAAACUUUUCAAAAAAAUCUAAUUGAUAAAAUUGUGUUACAUAAGACUGAUGCUAGAGUUAUGAAAUGCUUGACUUUAAUAAAAUUUUAUCUGCUACACAUCAGAAUUGCUAAAUGCAAAAAGGGAGUUGGUCAUUCACAACUGACCUAAUGACAUUUCCCCGCCACCGGGAUGCUCUGCCUGACGCCUGGGUUCCCUGAUUGUCUUCUUAUAAAUUUUGACCUUGUCCAGUUUGUGGGAAACUGUGCUGGUGGACUGGACAUCUACAGGGGGCCCAGCAGACCAAACCAAUUUAAAAGUUGAAUCACAAUAACUGUACUGUUGCAGGAGGCCUUAUAGCCAAUUAACUAAACUAUAACCAACCUACUGGUUGAUUCACUAAGCUGUGGCCAGUUAAAUUAUUUGCUGUAUCUCACUUCCAUUUUUCUAUAAAUUCUUUCUGAUAGCACUGUUGUCCAGACUGCUCAGAAACUGCUCUGGUUCUAGAAACUAUCUGAUUCACAAAUCCUGUUUUGCUUUGUUUUGUUCUUCGUCGCUCGUAUUAAACUCUAAAUUUAAUUGCUCUAAGGAAUUUUCCUUUUAGUAGCAGCAUCAAAGUUAAAGUUUUGAAUAAAUUAAGAACAGUGAAGACAUGGUUGGUAGGUUUAGUGAGCUCCUGGUCAGAAAGAGAGGAAUCCACUUUUUCAUGUAUUGUUCAACUUGGCAAGCGCGUGGCUUCAGAAAAAGAUGGAGUCUUUCAUGCCUGCCAUCUUUGUCUGUAUGACUAGCACCUGGGUGAGAUCAUGCUAAAACCACUCACUAUUGCUCCCAUGGUACUAAAGCCACACCCACAGACUGGAAGUUUCGUCUGCCAGCUGUUCUUAGUGUGGAGCUCAGCUGACCCCCUUUAGCAGCUCUGGGUUCAGUUAUGCUGACCUCAAUUUCUGAAUUUCUGUUGAUCCCCUGCCUAGUGGAAGGCCUUUGACAAGAGCAGUAGGGUACAUAUCUGCAUGUAGCAAAUUCCUGUUUGAAUUACGGUAAAACAAACCUACAGGUUGUUCUCUAUUUUUGCACAUAAAGUGCUCUUGAAAAUGUAAAAAAUCAAAUGCAGGAAAAUUGAAAAAUAGACUUAAAUAUUCUAAGAUAUUUCUAUUUCCAUGGAGAAAAACAUUAAAUCCCCAAUGGCAUUUCACCUAUAGUCUUCAGUGAAGUAGUUUUAGUAUUCAGGAUGCGUUCUUCACUCAUAAUUAGACAUGCUGUUGCCAAGGCAGAUUCGGGUGAAGCUAGAGACAUACUGUUUCGUAAAACACUCUAAGGUCCUUUUCAGGAGGAUCAGAGUUUCCAUUUCUCUGUUCUUACCUACAUAAUGUAUUCCACAGAAAAUACUAAUCACGUUCACAUGCUCAUGGUGUACCGUGGUGGACAGGUGAAGCUAGUGAUCCCAUGAACCCAAGCCCUCGAACUGCAGAUACCACCAUUGCCUGACGAUGGUAGUGUGGGAGAUUGGUGUCAGUGGUUAUGAGAAAACAAGACAGAAUCGCCCCCAGGAGGGAGUACCUGCACGCUUUCUGAAGGAGAGCCUCUGAGUGAAGGAAGGAGAAGGUAGACGGGGAGCCAGGACCCCGUGGCCGAUGGGGGAUGGUGCAAGAGUUUUCACAUUCACUGAGCAGUGCUUGGAAGCGUGGCUCAGUCCCCUACACGUGAGUUAGGGUUUGUUUGGCAUGGCACGUGCUAACAAUUGGUACCUUUUUAUUGGUCUAUGUUUAUCUGUGGAUUGUUCAGUUGCUUUUUACAAUUGGGAAACCACAUGUCCCAAUAAUUAAACAGAAAAAAAAGCUGAAAUCUAUAUCCACCACUCACGGCCCCCAAUGACUGGCCUGUCCUCGGUGUUAUCCCAGCAGUAUUCCUCAUGCUACAUGUUGAUUACUGGAACGUCUGCUACUUUUAUUGGGUGUUAAGCAUUUUUUAUUCCCUACUGGGACUGAGCCCAGGGCUUUAUACCAAGCCAUAUUCCUAGGCCUGCUUUUUAUUUUGAGAUAAGGUCUCAUUAAACUAGUUGCCCAAGCUGGGCUUGAACUGCACUCCCCCUGCCUCAUCCUCCAGAGUGCUGAGAUUACAGAUGGGCACCACUAUGCCUGGCCUAAGCAUAUUUAUAAGUACUGCUCUUUGUGAGGCAUCAUAGGGGAUGAAAAACACAUGAUUCCUUGUAAAAAUGGAUCACAGUGUGGAAAAAGAUGUGGCCAAAGCCAUAAUUAACCAAUUAACUGGGAAAUAGUUCAUAUAAUCUUGAGAAGAGAUGAGACAAAGUGAUUGUUAAUUACGGUGGGGGAGUUUACAUUUUUAUGAUGAACAUCACUAGCAGGAUAAGCCAUAUUCCUCUUUUACCUAGAAUGCUUUGCAUUAUAGUAACUGCUACUUCAGGUCAUGCUGCAUUUUAAAAAAUCAAAGAAUUAAAGGCAACUACAGAUAUAUUGAGUUAUGAUCAUUUCAAGAGCCAACCAAAUUAAUACAGCCAUGCACUGCAUGAAGCUGUUUCCAUUAUGAGUGGAUUCCUUGUAUGACAAUACUCCAGAAGAUUGUAAAGGGGCCAAAGAAGAGCUAUUGCUUCAGGAGGUUGUAGUGACCCCAGCAUCAGUGCCAUGCACUAUUCACGUGUUUGUGGUGACGCUGGUGUAAACAAACCUGCUCUGCUGCAGAUGUGUAAAAGUGUAGCAAAUCAAUUAUGUACCAGUCCAUACACCCUACUUUCUAUUGCUGUUUUAGAGUGGACUCCUUCUGUAUGUAGAACAGUGCACUGUAAAACAGUAUGCCCCGUUUCACCAGUGGCAUUCUCAAAUAGCUUGUGUUUACCAUGCCUCUCCAUCACUUUAGCAGACCAUGUGGCGAGAAUGACUGAGACCAACUUGAAGCUUGUGGAAGUAAGCCCUGCACGCCUUAUGAUCUUUGCCCAGAAGCAAAAUCACCUAAUGCUCCAACUCUCACAGUGCAUCUUGGUUGUUAAGUGAUGCAUGACUAUAUUACCCUUCACUGAAAUUGUAUUUCCUUGGAGGAAAGCUAUGACAAUACACUGGUCAGAAACUUAAAAACUGACUUCCAGAUCCAGCCAGUGUCCUGACUCACUCUUGAUCUGAAACAUAUAACCUAAAGGAAGGACAGGAGGCCAGUUAUGACCCAGGCUUUUAGCUUUCAAAAUUUAAAUUAUGUAGGACAAAAGGUGGAAUAUAAGUGAACUGUUUGGGCCCUUACUAUAAAAACUAAAUUUUUAAAAGUCUUUGGCAUUUGAGUGUUGGGUGCUGUGUACAAAAGAAAAACAUCCAUAGACUUUUUAAAAAUUGACUAUUUUUUUUGGAGCAGUUUUAGGCUCAGAGCAAAAUUGAGCAGCAAGUAGAGAUUUCUCACAUAGUUUCUUUCCUUCCAUGUAUGCAUAGCUUCCCCUGCCACCAAAAUGCAGUAUGUCUUUUCUACAAUCUGCGAUCGUAUAUUAACACAUUACCACCAGGGCCCACAGUUCACUUAGGACUUGCUCUUGGUAUUGUACCUCCUGAGAGUUUGGCAAAUGUGUGAUACUGUGUCCAGCACUGUAAUGUCACACAAAGCACUUUCCAUUUUCUAAAAUUCCUCAGUGCUCUUCUUCCAUCUUAUUCAACCCUGGCAACCAUAGAUUUUUUUUACUGUCUCCAUAGUUUUGCUGUUUACAGAAUGUUAGUUGGAGCUGUAUAGAAUAUAGCUUUUUCAGAUUGGCUUCUUUCACUUAUAUUGUAAGUUUCCUGCAUGUCUUUUCAUUUUUUCUUAAUAUUCAAUAAUAUUCCAUUGCCUGAAUAUAUCAUAGGUUAUCCAUUUACCUACUGAAAGAUAUCUCAGUUGCUCCUAAGUCUUGGCUAUUGUAAAUAGAGCUGCUGUAAACAUCCCAGUGCAGGUUUUUGUGUGGACAUAAGCUUUCCACCUCUUUGGGUAAAUACCAAGGAGUGGAUUUGCCAGAUCAUAGGUAAGAGUGUAUUUAGUUUGAUAAGCAGCAGGCAAGCUGUCAUCUAAAAUACCCAUACCAUUUUGCAUUACCACCAGUAAUGCAGGAGAGACCCUAUUUGCCUACAUCCUCACGAGCAUUUGGUGGUGCUGGUAUUUAGGAUUUGGGCUAUAUGAGUAGGUGUAUAGUGGUAGCUCUUUGUUGUUUUAAUGUGCACUUCUCUGAUGACAGAUGAUGUGGUUGGUAUAUUUUUCACGUGUUCUCGAUUAUGCUAAAGCUUGGAAGUAUGCUCUGUGGAUCCCCAGAGAUGUCUGACUGAGGAAACCUGCCAACAAGAGGCAAGAGAAGUGGCUUACCGUCUUUGUGGCUGACCUGGCCCUUCUCAGAGCAGCAAGUGGGCAGAUCAUAGCCUUAGUCCAUAUCCUCUUCAUCUUUUACACCAAUUUAGCCAGGAAUACACUGUCAGCCCAGUAAUCUCAAGAGCAAAAUUAUUUCCAAAGGUAGAGCGGCCUUUCUCCCAUCAGUAGCCAGGGAAGAAUAAAACUCAGCCACCCAUGUUGCCUCUCUAAUUAUCUUAUCACAGGCACUGAGAGAGUAGGAGAAUGAGGAGAGUUAUUCCUGCAGAUCUGCCCUUCAUCACAGGUGUCGGUUUGUUCUCAGCAGCUGGAGUAGUAGCAUCCUGUUCUUGGCCUCUGCACUGCCUGCUGCUCCCCCAGGACUCCAGCAGUCAUGAGACUGCGGUUAGCCACUCACUCCAGCACCGAGGCUCUGAGGCUCGGUGCAUUGCCUGCGAGUUUAACUUGAAGCAGAAUCAUCCCUACCUACCGCCUCUCCUGCUUUCCCGUCUGUCUGACCUCAGCACUCUGUUCUCUCCUAGUGGCUUACAUUGCUGUUUUUAGGGGGAAAGCAUUCCCACUCCCUCCAGCCAGAGGAACUAAGUCCUCUUUGAGUUUUAUAGUUCAUAGUGCACUUUUAAAUAUUUUUAAAAAUUGGACAUAUUUAAGGUGAUGUUUUGAUAUAUAUGUAUAUCUGUAUAGUGAAAUGAUUACCAUGGCAAAGCGAACAUCUCUCUCUCCUCACCUAAUUACUGUGUGUGCACGCACGCAGUGAGAACACUUAGCAUUGGCUCUCUUAGCUCAUUUUGAUUGGACAAUGCUGUGUUAUUAACCAUGAGUAGCAUGCUGUUCAUUGGAUCUCUAGAACGAUUCAUCUGCAUAACUGAAACGUUCUACCCUUUAGCCAUCAUCUCUCCAUACUGCACCUAAGCUGGAAUCUUGGGGUAGGGAUGGUGACAGGAGAGAGGGACUCCACCCAGAGAGCUGCAGAAGGAAACCACGGAGGGGGCAGACAGGAAGGACAAAUGCGCCCUUCUCCAGCUCAUUUAUAGAUGGGACCUCCAUGUGUCCAGGAAGAGCAUCCCACUCAUCUCUGUAUCUUCAGUUUGUGACGCUGAGGGGGUGCUUGGUAAAUGUUUGUGGAGCUGGACAGAACAGAGCCACACACGGCUGAGCCAUGGAUACGUGGCCGUCAGCUAGUGACUGACUAUAACUAGUGAUAGGAAGAGCACAGAAAUGAGGCGUCCACCCCGCUUUUAUUCCCAGCUCUCUCUCUGCUGCACCCAUUUGAAAUUGUGUUUAUAUGACUCGAUCAGUUCUAAAUUGAUCUCAGACCGUUGACAUAGGAACAGUUGUAUCCAUGUUCAGUGACUAAUUUGUGGAACCAAAGGUGCCGAAAUGAAACAUUUAUUUCUCCAAAUUACUUCCUCAGUGGAAAGUGCCAUUUGUGCUUUGAAAUGCACUUGCAUAUAUUUCUGAUUCACUCCAGUGUGAUGGUGUGGGUGAAGUUUUCAGUGCUUGAUGGCGUUGGAGUCUCCACCUGGUAGUAGAUAAAUCAUUAUCCUGAUGUUAGCUUUUGCUCUCCAUCCGCCUAUUCUUUUUACUGCUGCUGCCGCUACAAUAGGGGGCACUCUAGUGGCCUUGCUUUCUUGAUUUCCUUAUUGUUCACUUUGUGAAUGAUAAAAUGGAAAGAAUUUCCUUUUCCUAAAAAUGCUUUCCUUAAAAGAAAGUCUGGAGUCUCAUGUUCAUUCAGAGGGAUUGUCCCCUGUGUGCUUCUAUGCCUGACCCGACCGGUCAGUUGCUUUUCAGCAAAAGCUGUCCUGAAAGAUGAGAGCUCUCUAUUAGGUGUAAUUAGGAAAAGCAAUAGCCAAAUUAGCUGAGCAGUCAGAGCAGCUGGGAGGCUCUUUCUGAGGAGGGGAUGACAGAGAGGAACCUGCUGAGCUUGGAAAAAGCAUUUCCUUUUUUAAAUGCACACUAGGGUGCAGCAGAGAGAGAAACUGUGUGUUCUCAGAGGUUAAUGCUCUCAGCCAAACAACUGACUUAAUCAAGGGUGGCCGAAUGGGCCAAACACAAAAGGUUCAGAUGAUAAUCUUUAUUAUAUUUUAAAUAGAUUUCUUUCCCCCUAAAAAUGGAUUUGAUAAAUUAGUAGUUGUUCAGGCUGUAGGAGUUAGGAACUCUAUUCUCUUUUUAACUUUUAGAGGAUAGGUGCAGUUAAAAUGUUAAUUACUGCAGAUUUUGGAAUCAAAUUCUCCGACUGCCCUACCAGUAGAGAAUACAUUUUCACCUGCCUUAUUCUGUAAGUUAAUCGAUAAUGUAGGAGAUUCAAGACUCUUUUUAGUAAAAAUAUCUUCCCAUUAGAUUAUUUGGAGCUAUACAGGGGUCCCUUGUCACCUGCACAGGAUUGGUUCCAGGACCUCUGCUGUCACUGAACUCUGAGUGUGCUCUGUCCCUUGUGUAAGAUGGCACAGUGUAUGCAUGCAACCUUUGUGUCACCUCUAGAAUGACACCUCACACGGUGUAAAUGCUGUGGCAGUUGUUACUCUAUCGUUUAGAGAGUAAUACAAGAGAAAGUUCUUAUGUUCAGUACAGACUCAAUUUUUUUCAAAUAUUUUCAAUCCAGAGUUAUUUGAAUCUGCAGAUGCAGAAUCCAUUCACACAAAGGGGUGACUAUUUGUUAGGAAAACAGAUUAAAAGUCAGGAAUCCUAGAUUUUAGACUCGACGUUGCCGCUGUCUUGCUUUCUUACCUAAGUGAAAUCCUUUAACCCCUCUGAACCAGUUUUGCCAGUUGUAAAAAAAUAAAAGAAUAAUGGUCUCUAACAUUGUUUUGAUGAUCUUUGUGAAAUAAAGUAUGUCAGAGUAGUUCUUAAAAGUGUAAAGUGUUAUGUGUUUUAUGCUUAAGACAAGAUAUAAAUGCAGCAAGGAGAUCGUAUGAAUGCUGGAG
RNAcentral lists this long non-coding RNA (12474 nucleotides) under Heterocephalus glaber (naked mole-rat). RNAcentral's name for it is "lncRNA (ENSHGLG00100041637.1)". The record is from RNAcentral. Lineage: Eukaryota; Metazoa; Chordata; Mammalia; Rodentia; Bathyergidae.